RNAcentral lists this ribosomal RNA (1325 nucleotides) under metagenome. RNAcentral's name for it is "bacterial LSU rRNA". It matches the Rfam family "Bacterial large subunit ribosomal RNA", at positions 1561 to 2925 of the family's 2925-position model. The record is from RNAcentral.
AGUGGAUGGGGAGCAACCUAGUUGUGCGUGUGUAAAGGUAGUGCCAAGAAAAGCGAUGAUCAUGUUGAAAAUCAAUUCCCGGUACCCGAAACCGACACAGGUGGGCAAGUAGAGAAUACUAAGGGGCGCGAGGUAACUCUCUCCAAGGAACUCGGCAAAAUGACCCCGUAACUUAGGGAGGAGGGGUGCCACCGAGAGGUGGUCGCAGUGAAGAGGCCCAGGCGACUGUUUAGCAAAAACAUAGGUCUCUGCAAACUCGAAAGAGGAGGUAUAGGGGCUGACGCCUGCCCAGUGCCGGAAGGUUAAAGAAGUUGGUCAGUUUUAGGAUGAAGCUAGCGACUGAAGCCCCGGUGAACGGCGGCCGUAACUAUAACGGUCCUAAGGUAGCGAAAUUUCUUGUCGGGUAAGUUCCGACCCGCACGAAAGGCGUAGCGAUCUGGGCGCUGUCUCGGAGAGAGGCUCGGCGAAAUAGGAUUGUCUGUGAAGAUACGGACUACCUGCAUUUGGACAGAAAGACCCUAUGAAGCUUUACUAUAGCUUGGAAUUGUGUUCGGGCUUCCUGUGCGCAGGAUAGGUGGGAGGCGUAGAAGGUAUUCUUGUGGGGAUACUGGAGCCAACGGUGAGAUACCACUCUCAGGAGGCUAGAAUUCUAACUUAAUUAAGGACAGUUUCAGGUGGGUAGUUUGACUGGGGCGGUCGCCUCCAAAAAGGUAACGGAGGCGUACAAAGGUUCCCUCAGACUGGUUGGAAAUCAGUCGAAGAGUGCAAAGGCAGAAGGGAGCUUGACUGCGAGAAGUACAGUUCGAGCAGGGUGGAAACACGGUCUUAGUGAUCCGACGGUGCUGUGUGGAAGGGCCGUCGCUCAACGGAUAAAAGUUACUCUAGGAUAACAGGCUGAUCUCCCCCAAGAGUUCACAUCGACGGGGAGGUUUGGCACCUCGAUGUCGGCUCAUCGCAACCUGGGGCGGAAGUACGUCCCAAGGGUUGGGCUGUUCGCCCAUUAAAGCGGUACGUGAGCUGGGUUCAGAACGUCGUGAGACAGUUCGGUCCAUAUCCGAUGUAGGCGUGAGAAUAUUGAGAGGAGCCUUCCUUAGUACGAGAGGACCGGGAAGGACGCACCGCUGGUGUACCUGUUAUGAUGCCAAUUGUAAACGCAGGGUAGCCAAGUGCGGAGAGGAUAACCGCUGAAAGCAUCUAAGUGGGAAGCCCACCUCAAGAUGAGUAUUCUGGUGUAAGGUCACGGGAAGACGACCCGUAAAUAGGCACGAGGUGGAAGUGCAGAGAUGUAUGAAGCCGAAGUGUACUAAUAGACCGUCGGCUUGACC